This 353-nucleotide long non-coding RNA is filed under the name Carica papaya (papaya). RNAcentral's name for it is "long non-coding RNA (CPAP_LNC014544)". The record is from RNAcentral. Lineage: Eukaryota; Viridiplantae; Streptophyta; Magnoliopsida; Brassicales; Caricaceae.
CUUCAGUAUAAUGUUGGUGGAGAAACUCGUUGUUUUAAAUGCCCCUCCGUACCGGUCUGCUCUGACUCGAGAGUGUUUUAAGAACAGGAGAAAAACAAGUUAGAUAGCACGAGUUCAGCCAUAUAUAUAUAUAUACACACACACACACACACAGACUAUAUACUCAAAUACGUACGAAGCAAAAAGAGAUUCGAUGAUGGUGAAUGGCCAGAAGACAGAGCCACUGUCAUUGGAGGUGGCGGAGACGAAGGUGGCUGCUGCUGCUGCUGCUGAGGAGGAGGAGAAGGUUGGACGUAGAACCCAUAUGGCUGUGGCCCCGAGGCUCGAUCCGAGACUGAGUAGCCGGAGAGCUG